GCGGCGGUGGUAUAGGGGUUGUGCCCGAGGUUUCCACCCUCGAGAGGACGGUUCGAAUCCGUUCCGCCGCUCCA
This 74-nucleotide transfer RNA is filed under the name Paragemmobacter straminiformis. Its description in RNAcentral is "tRNA-Gly". It matches the Rfam family "tRNA". From Rfam's summary of the family: Transfer RNA (tRNA) molecules are approximately 80 nucleotides in length. Their secondary structure includes four short double-helical elements and three loops (D, anti-codon, and T loops). Further hydrogen bonds mediate the characteristic L-shaped molecular structure. tRNAs have two regions of fundamental functional importance: the anti-codon, which is responsible for specific mRNA codon recognition, and the 3' end, to which the tRNAs corresponding amino acid is attached (by aminoacyl-tRNA synthetases). tRNAs cope with the degeneracy of the genetic code in two manners: having more than one tRNA (with a specific anti-codon) for a particular amino acid; and 'wobble' base-pairing, i.e. permitting non-standard base-pairing at the 3rd anti-codon position. The record is from RNAcentral. Lineage: Bacteria; Pseudomonadati; Pseudomonadota; Alphaproteobacteria; Rhodobacterales; Paracoccaceae.